Molecule: long non-coding RNA, 199 nt
Organism: Haliotis rubra (blacklip abalone)
Lineage: Eukaryota; Metazoa; Mollusca; Gastropoda; Lepetellida; Haliotidae
Exons: 3
Source: RefSeq, a predicted model, not a curated record
GAUAUAGCGUUCCCUGGUCAAGCUGAAGACCUGGAGUCAAUUCCUCACAUGGGCACAUUGUGUGAAGCCCAUUUCUGAUGUCCCCUGCCGUGAUAUUGCUGGAGUAAAAAAAACCCAACUUAAUCACUUACUUGGUAAACAUUGAAGGUCACAUGCAACCAAAAAUCAAACAUAAUUAAAACACAAUUAUCACUUAUUC